CAAUAGCGUAUAUUAAAGUUGUUGCAGUUAAAAAGCUCGUAGUUGAAUUUCUGGCGGGCGCGCCGGUCUUCCAAGUGUUGUACUGGGCGCAGUCCGCCAUCCUUGUGGAGAGGGCUCGCAUUGAGUUGCGUGUCGGAUCUGCAUCAUUUACUGUGAAAAAAUUAGAGUGUUUAAAGCAGGCUGUCGCUUGAAUACAUUAGCAUGGAAUAAUAAGAUAGGACUUCGGUCUAUUUUGUUGGUUGCGAACCGAGGUAAUGAUUAAUAGGGAUAGUUGGGGGUAUUCAUAUUUAAUUGUCAGAGGUGAAAUUCUUGGAUUUAUGAAGGAUGAACAACUGCGAAAGCAUUUACCAAGGAUGUUUUCAUUAA
RNAcentral lists this ribosomal RNA (366 nucleotides) under uncultured eukaryote. RNAcentral's name for it is "partial 18S ribosomal RNA". It matches the Rfam family "Eukaryotic small subunit ribosomal RNA", at positions 592 to 976 of the family's 1831-position model. The record is from RNAcentral.